Molecule: ribosomal RNA, 494 nt
Filed under: uncultured bacterium
Lineage: Bacteria
Description: partial 16S ribosomal RNA
Rfam family: Bacterial small subunit ribosomal RNA
Source: RNAcentral
GACGAACGCUGGCGGCGCGCUUAACACAUGCAAGUCGAACGGAAAGGCCUGCUUUCCCUUGUGGAUUGCGGGUACUCGAGUGGCGAACGGGUGAGUAACACGUGAGUGAUCUGCCCCCAACUUGGGUAUAAGCCUGGGAAACUGGGUCUAAUUCCCGAUAGGACUGCAGGGUGGUGCCUGUGGUGGAAAACGAUUUUCUAGUGGUUGGGGAUGAGCUCGCGGCCUAUCAGCUUGUUGGUGGGGUAAUGGCCUACCAAGGCGGCGACGGGUAGCCGGCCUGAGAGGGUGGACGGCCACAUUGGGACUGAGAUACGGCCCAGACUCCUACGGGAGGCAGCAGUGGGGAAUAUUGCACAAUGGGCGGAAGCCUGAUGCAGCGGCGCCGCGUGGGGGAUGACGGCCUUCGGGUUGUAAACUCCUUUCGACCGCGAGGAAGCCACCUGGUUGGAAGGGUGGUGACGGUAGUGGUAGAAGAAGCACCGGCUAACUACGUG